GUGGGGAAUAUUGGACAAUGGGCGCAAGCCUGAUCCAGCCAUGCCGCGUGAGUGAUGAAGGCCUUAGGGUUGUAAAGCUCUUUCAGUGGGGACGAUAAUGACGGUACCCACAGAAGAAGCCCCGGCUAACUUCGUGCCAGCAGCCGCGGUAAUACGAAGGGGGCUAGCGUUGUUCGGAUUUACUGGGCGUAAAGCGCACGUAGGCGGAUCGUUAAGUCGGGGGUGAAAUCCUGGAGCUCAACUCCAGAACUGCCUUCGAUACUGGCGAUCUUGAGUCCGGAAGAGGUGAGUGGAACUCCUAGUGUAGAGGGGGAAUUCGUAGAUAUUAGGAAGAACACCAGUGGCGAAGGCGGCUCACUGGUCCGGUACUGACGCUGGGGUGCGAAAGCGUGGGGAGCAAACAGGAUUAGAAACCCGGGUAGUCC
This 425-nucleotide ribosomal RNA is filed under the name uncultured bacterium. Its description in RNAcentral is "partial 16S ribosomal RNA". It matches the Rfam family "Bacterial small subunit ribosomal RNA", at positions 354 to 796 of the family's 1533-position model. The record is from RNAcentral.